This 465-nucleotide ribosomal RNA is filed under the name uncultured bacterium. RNAcentral describes it as "partial 16S ribosomal RNA". It matches the Rfam family "Bacterial small subunit ribosomal RNA", at positions 28 to 507 of the family's 1533-position model. The record is from RNAcentral.
GACGAACGCUGGCGGCGUGCUUAACACAUGCAAGUCGUACGGUAAGGCCCUUUCGGGGGUCCACGAGUGGCGAACGGGUGCGUAACACGUGCGUAACCUGCCCACAACUUUGGGAUAACGAUAGGAAACUGGAGCUAAUACUGGAUAUGUGCUCCUGCUGCAUGGUGGGGGUUGGAAAGCUCCGGCGGUUGUGGCUGGACUCGCGGCCUAUCAGCUUGUUGGUGGGGUAGUGGCCUACCAAGGCGGCGACGGGGAGCCGGCCUGAGAGGGUGACCGGCCACAUUGGGACUGAGAUACGGCCCAGACUCCGACGGGAGGCAGCAGUGGGGAAUAUUGCACAAUGGGCGCAAGCCUGAUGCAGCAACGCCGCGUGCGGGAUGACGGCCUUCGGGUUGUAAACCGCGUUCAGCAGGGACGAAGCUUUUUGUGACGGUACCUGCAGAAGAAGCACCGGCUAACUACGUG